This 564-nucleotide small RNA is filed under the name Pongo abelii (Sumatran orangutan). Its description in RNAcentral is "retained intron". Lineage: Eukaryota; Metazoa; Chordata; Mammalia; Primates; Hominidae. The record is from RNAcentral.
GAUGCAGAGGGAGAGAGGCCCGUGUUCACCAUGGGAUGACACAGGAGAAAAGGCUGGCCAGCUCUCCCUGUCUUCCCAACUCCCUCUAAAGUUGGCGAGAGAAGCCCUUAAUUGUAUUGCAAUGGUUAUGGAUUCAGAAAUGGUUUUUCCCUUGGUGUGUGUUCUUUUUCCUUAGAUUGGAAAGGAUCGGGCACUGAACUUUGACCCCUGCUGCAUCAGCUACUUUACUAAAGGCGAGUACAUUUUGCUGGGGGGUUCAGACAAGCAAGUAUCUCUUUUCACCAAGGAUGGAGUGCGGCUUGGGACUGUUGGGGAGCAGAACUCCUGGGUGUGGACGUGUCAAGCGAAACCGGAUUCCAACUAUGUGGUGGUUGGCUGCCAGGACGGCACCAUUUCCUUCUACCAGCUUAUUUUCAGCACAGUCCAUGGGCUUUACAAGGAUCGCUAUGCGUACAGGGAUAGCAUGACUGAUGUCAUUGUGCAGCACCUGAUCACUGAGCAGAAAGUUCGGAUUAAAUGCAAAGAGCUUGUCAAGAAGAUUGCCAUCUACAGAAAUCGAUUGGC